Molecule: ribosomal RNA, 515 nt
Filed under: uncultured bacterium
Lineage: Bacteria
Description: partial 16S ribosomal RNA
Source: RNAcentral
GGAGUUAGCCGGUGCUUCUUCUGUGAGUGAUGUCCUUCCUGCCGGCUAUUAACCCGCAGGCCUUCUUCCUCACUGAAAGUGCUUUACAACCCGAAGGCCUUCUUCACACACGCGGCAUGGCUGGAUCAGGGUUGCCCCCAUUGUCCAAUAUUCCCCACUGCUGCCUCCCGUAGGAGUCUGGGCCGUGUCUCAGUCCCAGUGUGGCUGAUCAUCCUCUCAGACCCAGCUACGGAUCGUCGCCUUGGUGAGCCGUUACCUCACCAACCAGCUAAUCCGACAUAGGCUCAUCCGAUAGCGCGAGGCCCGAAGGUCCCCCGCUUUCCCCCGUAGGGCGUAUGCGGUAUUACGCCUGGGUUUCCCCAGGUUAUCCCCCCGACUUACCCGGGGCCAGGAUUCCCUAUGCCAUUACUCACCCGUCCGCCGCUCGCCACCAGGGAGCAAGCUCCCCGUGCUGCCGCUCGACUUGCAUGUGUAGCUCGCCGCCACGCGUCAUCUGAGCGAGAUACAACUACUGA